UACGGGGGGAGCAAGCGUUGUUCGGAUUUACUGGGCGUAAAGGGCGCGUAGGCGGUCGUGACAAGUCACUUGUGAAAUCUCCGGGCUUAACUCGGAACGGUCAAGUGAUACUGUCGGACUAGAGUACAGAAGGGGCAACUGGAAUUCUCGGUGUAGCGGUGAAAUGCGUAGAUAUCAAGAGGAACACCUGAGGUGAAGACGGGUUGCUGGGCUGACACUGACGCUGAGGCGCGAAAGCUAGGGGAGCGAACGGG
This 254-nucleotide ribosomal RNA is filed under the name uncultured bacterium. RNAcentral describes it as "partial 16S ribosomal RNA". It matches the Rfam family "Bacterial small subunit ribosomal RNA", at positions 524 to 776 of the family's 1533-position model. The record is from RNAcentral.